Molecule: ribosomal RNA, 486 nt
Filed under: uncultured bacterium
Lineage: Bacteria
Description: partial 16S ribosomal RNA
Rfam family: Bacterial small subunit ribosomal RNA
Source: RNAcentral
AUUGAACGCUGGCGGCAUGCCUUACACAUGCAAGUCGAACGGCAGCACGGGUGCUUGCACCUGGUGGCGAGUGGCGAACGGGUGAGUAAUACAUCGGAACACGUUCUGUAGUGGGGGAUAGCCCGGCGAAAGCCGGAUUACUACCGCCUACGAUCUACGGAAGAAAGCGGGGGACCUCCGGGCCUCGCGCUUUAGGGUUGGCCGAUGGCUGAUUAGCUAGUUGGUGGGGUAAAGGCCUACCAAGGCAACGAUCAGUAGCUGGUCUGAGAGGACGACCAGCCACACUGGGACUGAGACACGGCCCAGACUCCUACGGGAGGCAGCAGUGGGGAAUUUUGGACAAUGGGCGAAAGCCUGAUCCAGCAAUGCCGCGUGUGUGAAGAAGGCCUUCGGGUUGUAAAGCGCUUUUGUCCGGAAAGAAAUCCUUGGCCCUAAUACGGUCGGGGGAUGACGGUACCGGAAGAGUAAGCACCGGCUAACUACGUG